Prionailurus viverrinus (fishing cat) is the source of this 3191-nucleotide long non-coding RNA. RefSeq lists it as uncharacterized. The record is from RefSeq and is a predicted model, not a curated record. The transcript is spliced from 5 exons. NCBI's taxonomy places the organism in Eukaryota, Metazoa, Chordata, Mammalia, Carnivora, Felidae.
GCCCCCUCCAAUGCUGGAGCCACACCCUUGAUGGAGGGCCCCGGUGGGUGAGGUCUGUAGCUCCUGGAAACAGACCCAAGAGCGGCGGCAAGAAAGGAGUUGGUCUCCACAAUCCGCCCAAAGCCAAGACUUUGGAUAAGUCAUUAUGGAGAAAGCUAAAGAUCCCUGCGUUGUCUUGAAAGCACACCAGCCGGGAAAUCAGAAGGCCUGGGUUUGAAUUCCAGUUACUCACAAAUGUAAGUGAAAGCGGGCAGGCCAGUGACUCCAGCUCAACCACACCAUGGAGGAUGUCUCUGUGGUCUCAUGUCCACCUUCAUUUGCAAGAUGUCUGCCACAGUUCCAGAUAAUCCAUGGGAUCCCAGGGGAAAGAAGACAACUCCUCCUGUAUUGUGACAACUAGCAGGCACACAAAAGUGAACAUCACGUGGGCCUUGACCUGGAGAGCUAGCAAGCAAACCGGCAUCCCAUGUCAUUUCAAAAUUGUAUAGUAAGAAAGGAGAGGCAUGCAGUGUUCUGGAAGCACAGAGAAGGAUCCCUCAGCUCUACUGAGGGAUGAUUCCUGGGGAGAGACCAAGUGGACUGGCUAUAGAUGCUGAGAAUGAGUUUGACUCUAAAGACAAUGCUGUAAGAUAAAGAUGCAGACAUACACAGUGUUUGAAGAAGUCUGGAUGAAAAUAACUCGCACUACCAUCUAUGCGGCUGCCCCACAGCCAGAGUGGAGAAGUACUGACAUUGUAGAAACCUUCACUUUCUAUGUACUGUUUACUUUUUUGUACAGUGCUAGUGAAUUAUCAGAAAGAAAAACAAAUUUUUCCAAGUGAGGGGAAAAAGUAAAAGGAAGGAAGAAAGAAAGAAAGAAAGAAAGAAAGAAAGAAAAUCCAGUUCUCCCAACGCCCUUUUGCAUGAAGCUUGCAUGAAGUGCUCUGGUCUGCUCUAUGCAAAAACAGGGUUUGACUCCGCCUAUCACCUGGCUCCUCCAAGCUUACUCUCACCACUUUCCCUUUUAAAUCCCACCUGCCAGGGAAGCCUUUGUAGUCAGAGUGGGAUCUCUCCUCUGAUCCAACUUAUCUACCCCAGGCUUACCCAACUAGAAAAACUGGAAAAUAAAAGUCAAAAACAGUACGUUCAAACAAGACGCUGAAAACUGGCCCAACCUGUACACGAAACCAACAUGUCUUAUUCGAGUACCAUGAGUUUGUGCAAGGAGCUAGCAGCCCGCUGGGAGGAAAGGAAACGCAGGCUGGAGACCCAGGCCCUAGUGCAUCCCUGCCAUUUUUCGAACUCCACCAUUUUUCUCACCUGCUCAUCCUAUCUGUUACUCUAACUCAGGAGGCUGAUAAGAGAAUCUGGGGAGGCAGGAGCAGUGCUAUGGAAAUAAAAGGUAAUUAGUCAUAUCAUCGUGUGAGCUCUGGAGGACAGGAUUUGUAUUGUGGGUUUGGUAUGAAUAUUGCCUAGAAAAUGAGGAGAACCCAAGAUGUUCAUUAACACAAAUGUGCUUUGAUUUUGCGAAGAAAAUGCUGUGACAAUCCAACCCGAAUGAUGUCUCUUUUCAAUGACUUUUCACCUGAGGAUCUCAAAAUGUCUCUUCCAGUCUUCCAUCACAACUGCCCCAUAAUGAGUGUGGGCUGCUACUAGGCCACCAAUAGUAGUGUUGACACAUUUUCCAGCAUUUCCCCCCCUCCCCAUCAUGAAUAAUACGUUUCUUGUUACUGGUGAGAGCCAUUAUAACAGGAAGGAAGAGCAGCUCAGAUGUGUCUGAGCGCUGGGAGUUUAGAAAAGAAACCUUGGGUGGAACUGGAAGAGGAGACUGAGCAGGCUGAGGAGAAGUAGCCAAGCAGAGAUUUCUAAAGCCAAUGCGAUGACUUAACCCUACAUACUGUGCAGGUCUUCUUUACUCUUUGUUUGAACCCUGUUAUUACUCUAGUUACAGAAGAUUCCACAAGCUGGCGCACAAAGCAAGAGACAGCAGUGUUCCUUGUAAGCUGAGAAGAUAUUUAGACGACAAGGUUGACUACCAGUAGUGGCUGAAUUGUGUCCCCCAAAAUAGAUAUGCUGAAGUACUAUCCUCCAAACCUCAGAAUGUGAUCUUAUUUGGAAAGAGGGUCUUUACAGAUUUAAUCAGGUUAAAACGAGGCCAUUAGGGUGGGCACUAAUCCAAUAUGACUCAUGUCUUUCUAAAAAGGGGAAAUUUGAAUACAGAGACAGACACACAGACAUACAGAGGGAAGAAGAUGUGGAGACACAGGAAGAACACCGUGGAGGGGCAGAGAUUUGGAGUGAUGUUGCAUCUAUAAGCCAAGGAAUGCCUGAGGCUACCAGAAGCUAGGAGACAGGCCUGGAACAGAUCCUUCCCCAGAGCCUGCAGAGGGAGCACAGCCCUGCCCACACCUUGGUUUUGGACUUCUGGCCUCCAGAGCUGUGAGACAGUAAGUUUUUAUUUAUUAAGUAGAUAACCACCCAGUCGGUGACACUUUCUUAUGGCAGCCCUAGGAAACUACUACAUGCACCACAGUCACAUAUCCUUCCAGCAAUGGGUAUUUGUAGGACAAAAAAAGUAACAGGAGUGGCUUUUCCACUCUAGUGGUAGAUUUUUCUGAGAACACUCAGCCUGGAGAUAGUUGUCUUUCCAUAGAAUGCAGAAAGCCAGUAAACCUUCCCUCUGCAGCCUGGCAGAGAGGAGAGGCACAGAGCCCAGUGUAGGCUGGUAGGGAGCACACCAUCCUACCUUGGACCAUUGCUUGGCUCUGUGCAGGGGCCCACACUGUGCACACAGCUGCUUCAAGCCCCACAUUUUACCAAAUGGAGACAAAGACAGGUAUGGGGCUCCCCAAAGGGAACGAAAGUCCUGAGACCAGGCAGUGACCCUUCUAAUGCCAACCAUGGAGACAGCAAUUAGGGGCAAGAGGGCUCACAAGCAAAAGAGAACCUGAAAAAUCUCAGGAAUACCCAUAACUGGACCCUAUCUGGCAAAGGAGUUUUCUUUGCUCUAUUUGUUUUUAUUUUAUUUUAAAACUUCCUUGGGGGGAAGUUAUCAUUAAAUUGCAACCCCAGUGCUUAAUCUUUGUAUGUAUAUUUGUGAACAUACAACUUAUUUCUGUGUAUGUGUGUCAUUCUGUUCUAUGGAUUCAGUCUCUCUAGCUCAUCCUUUUGUUAUCUUUUUGAAGCCAGGAAAUAAAAACAAAAAUUCGGGG